CCUACGUGUGGCAGCAGUGAGGAAUAUUGGUCAAUGGGCGCGAGCCUGAACCAGCCAAGUCGCGUGAGGGAUGACUGCCCUACGGGUUGUAAACCUCUUUUGCCGGGGAGCAACGGGCGCCACGUGUGGCCCCACUGAGAGUACCCGGAGAAAAAGCAUCGGCUAACUCCGUGUCAGCAGCCGCGGUAAUACGGAGGAUGCGAGCGUUAUCCGGAUUUAUUGGGUUUAAAGGGUGCGUAGGCGGAACGUUAAGUCAGUGGUAAAAUUGAGGGGCUCAACCCCUUCCCGCCAUUGAAACUGGCGUUCUUGAGUGGAAGAGAAGUAUGCGGAAUGCGUGGUGUAGCGGUGAAAUGCAUAGAUAUCACGCAGAACCCCGAUUGCGAAGGCAGCAUGCCGGCUUCCGACUGACGCUGAAGCACGAAAGCGUGGGGAUCGAACAGGAUUAGAUACCCUUGUAGUC
This 460-nucleotide ribosomal RNA is filed under the name uncultured bacterium. Its description in RNAcentral is "partial 16S ribosomal RNA". It matches the Rfam family "Bacterial small subunit ribosomal RNA", at positions 338 to 795 of the family's 1533-position model. The record is from RNAcentral.